Molecule: ribosomal RNA, 586 nt
Filed under: uncultured bacterium
Lineage: Bacteria
Description: partial 16S ribosomal RNA
Rfam family: Bacterial small subunit ribosomal RNA
Source: RNAcentral
UGGGGAAUUUUGGACAAUGGGCGAAAGCCUGAUCCAGCAAUGCCGCGUGUGUGAAGAAGGCCUUCGGGUUGUAAAGCACUUUUGUCCGGAAAGAAAUCCUUGGCUCUAAUACAGUCGGGGGAUGACGGUACCGGAAGAAUAAGCACCGGCUAACUACGUGCCAGCAGCCGCGGUAAUACGUAGGGUGCAAGCGUUAAUCGGAAUUACUGGGCGUAAAGCGUGCGCAGGCGGUUUGCUAAGACCGAUGUGAAAUCCCCGGGCUCAACCUGGGAACUGCAUUGGUGACUGGCAGGCUAGAGUAUGGCAGAGGGGGGUAGAAUUCCACGUGUAGCAGUGAAAUGCGUAGAGAUGUGGAGGAAUACCGAUGGCGAAGGCAGCCCCCUGGGCCAAUACUGACGCUCAUGCACGAAAGCGUGGGGAGCAAACAGGAUUAGAUACCCUGGUAGUCCACGCCCUAAACGAUGUCAACUAGUUGUUGGGGAUUCAUUUCCUUAGUAACGUAGCUAACGCGUGAAGUUGACCGCCUGGGGAGUACGGUCGCAAGAUUAAAACUCAAAUGAAUUGACGGGGUCAUAGCUGUUUCCUA